GAUGAACGCUGGCGGCGUGCCUAAUACAUGCAAGUCGAGCGAACGGACGAGAAGCUUGCUUCUCUGACGUUAGCGGCGGAGGGGUGAGUAACACGUGGAUCACCUACCUAUAAGACUGGGAAAACUUCGGGACACCGGAGCUAAUACCGGAUAAUAUCUUGAACCGCAUGGUUCAAAAGUGAAAGACGGUCUUGCUGUCACGUAUAGAUGGAUACGCGCUGCAUUAGCUAGUUGGUAAGGUAACGGCUUACCAAGGCAACGAUGCAUUGCCGAGCUGAGAGAGGGGUAGGCCACCUGGGAACUGAGACACGGUCCAUACUCCUACGGUACGCAGCAGUAGGGUAUCGGCCGCAACGGGCGAAAGCCUGACGGAGCAACGCGGAGUGAGUGAUGAAGAUCUUCGGAGCGUAAAACUCUGUUAUGAGGGAAGAACAGAUUUGGAAGUAACUGUGCACAUCUUGACGGUACCGAAUCAGAAAGCCACGGCUAACUACGUG
This 497-nucleotide ribosomal RNA is filed under the name uncultured bacterium. RNAcentral's name for it is "partial 16S ribosomal RNA". It matches the Rfam family "Bacterial small subunit ribosomal RNA", at positions 28 to 507 of the family's 1533-position model. The record is from RNAcentral.